RNAcentral lists this transfer RNA (83 nucleotides) under Syntrophomonadaceae bacterium. RNAcentral describes it as "tRNA-Leu". It matches the Rfam family "tRNA". From Rfam's summary of the family: Transfer RNA (tRNA) molecules are approximately 80 nucleotides in length. Their secondary structure includes four short double-helical elements and three loops (D, anti-codon, and T loops). The record is from RNAcentral. Lineage: Bacteria; Bacillati; Bacillota; Clostridia; Eubacteriales; Syntrophomonadaceae.
GCGGGAGUGGCGGAACUGGCAGACGCACCAGACUUAGGAUCUGGCGGGAAACCGUGGGGGUUCAAGUCCCUUCUCCCGCACCA